UACAGAGGUCCCAAGCGUUGUUCGGAUUCACUGGGCGUAAAGGGUGCGUAGGUGGUGAGGUAAGUCGGAUGUGAAAUCUCCGGGCUCAACCCGGAAAUGGCAUUGGAAACUACCUUGCUAGAGGAUUUGAGGGGGGAUUGGAAUACUUGGUGUAGCAGUGAAAUGCGUAGAUAUCAGGAGGAACACCGGUGGCGAAGGCGGGUCUCUGGGCAGUAACUGACGCUGAGGAGCGAAAGCGUGGGGAGCGAACAGG
RNAcentral lists this ribosomal RNA (253 nucleotides) under uncultured bacterium. RNAcentral describes it as "partial 16S ribosomal RNA". It matches the Rfam family "Bacterial small subunit ribosomal RNA", at positions 524 to 776 of the family's 1533-position model. The record is from RNAcentral.